This 237-nucleotide ribosomal RNA is filed under the name uncultured bacterium. RNAcentral describes it as "partial 16S ribosomal RNA". It matches the Rfam family "Bacterial small subunit ribosomal RNA", at positions 67 to 334 of the family's 1533-position model. The record is from RNAcentral.
CGCCCCGCAAGGGGAGCGGCAGACGGGUGAGUAACGCGUGGGAAUCUACCCAUCUCUACGGAAUAACUCAGGGAAACUUGUGCUAAUACCGUAUACGCCCUUCGGGGGAAAGAUUUAUCGGAGAUGGAUGAGCCCGCGUUGGAUUAGCUAGUUGGUGGGGUAAAGGCCUACCAAGGCGACGAUCCAUAGCUGGCCUGAGAGGAUGAUCAGCCACACUGGGACUGAGACACGGCCCAG